This 780-nucleotide ribosomal RNA is filed under the name uncultured beta proteobacterium. Its description in RNAcentral is "bacterial SSU rRNA". It matches the Rfam family "Bacterial small subunit ribosomal RNA", at positions 36 to 816 of the family's 1533-position model. The record is from RNAcentral. Lineage: Bacteria; Pseudomonadati; Pseudomonadota; Betaproteobacteria.
CUGGCGGAAUGCUUUCACAUGCAAGUCGAGCGGCAGCGCGGGGCAACCUGGCGGCGAGCGGCGAACGGGUGAGUAACACAUCGGAACGUACCCAGUUGUGGGGGAUAGCCCGGCGAAAGCCGGAUUAAUACCGCAUACGACCUGAGGGUGAAAGCGGGGGAUCGCAAGACCUCGCGCAAUUGGAGCGGCCGAUGGCGGAUUAGCUAGUUGGUAGGGUAAAGGCCUACCAAGGCGACGAUCCGUAGCGGGUCUGAGAGGACGACCCGCACACUGGAACUGAGACACGGUCCAGACUCCUACGGGAGGCAGCAGUGGGGAAUUUUGGACAAUGGGGGAAACCCUGAUCCAGCCAUUCCGCGUGAGUGAAGAAGGCCUUCGGGUUGUAAAGCUCUUUCGGCAGGAACGAAACGGUUUGCCCUAAUACGGCGAGCUAAUGACGGUACCUGAAGAAGAAGCACCGGCUAACUACGUGCCAGCAGCCGCGGUAAUACGUAGGGUGCGAGCGUUAAUCGGAAUUACUGGGCGUAAAGCGUGCGCAGGCGGUCCUAUAAGACAGAUGUGAAAUCCCCGGGCUCAACCUGGGAACUGCGUUUGUGACUGUAGAACUAGAGUGUGGCAGAGGGGGGUAGAAUUCCACGUGUAGCAGUGAAAUGCGUAGAGAUGUGGAGGAAUACCGAUGGCGAAGGCAGCCCCCUGGGUUAACACUGACGCUCAUGCACGAAAGCGUGGGGAGCAAACAGGAUUAGAUACCCUGGUAGUCCACGCCCUAACGAUGCGAAC